AAUAAACCAAUUUUUUACUUUUUACCUUUAAUUUUUGACUCUUCGUCUUAUUCAAAUUUUUUGUGUGAUUGAUAUUUUUAUUUUUAUUAGAUGAUAAAUCAUGAAUAAUACUUUACGUGUGACUAAUUUUUUUUAAUUUUUUAAAAUUUUUUUAAAUAAAACGGAUGGUCAAAGUUGUAUAAAAAACCAAAG
Molecule: microRNA precursor, 192 nt
Filed under: Oryza brachyantha (malo sina)
Lineage: Eukaryota; Viridiplantae; Streptophyta; Magnoliopsida; Poales; Poaceae
Description: MIR812 microRNA precursor family
Rfam family: MIR812 microRNA precursor family
Source: Rfam by way of RNAcentral